GAGAGAGGCAUGUAAAGCGUCAAAGACUGCUAAUCUUUACCACCAGGGUUAAACUCCCUGGCUCACUCG
RNAcentral lists this transfer RNA (69 nucleotides) under Heniochus diphreutes (false moorish idol). RNAcentral's name for it is "tRNA-Ser". Lineage: Eukaryota; Metazoa; Chordata; Actinopteri; Chaetodontiformes; Chaetodontidae. The record is from RNAcentral.